RNAcentral lists this ribosomal RNA (253 nucleotides) under uncultured bacterium. Its description in RNAcentral is "partial 16S ribosomal RNA". It matches the Rfam family "Bacterial small subunit ribosomal RNA", at positions 524 to 776 of the family's 1533-position model. The record is from RNAcentral.
UACGUAGGGGGCUAGCGUUGUUCGGAAUUACUGGGCGUAAAGCGCGCGUAGGCGGACCUGCAAGUCGGGGGUGAAAGCCCGAGGCUCAACCUCGGAACUGCCUUCGAUACUGCGGGUCUCGAGUCCGGGAGAGGUGAGUGGAAUUCCUAGUGUAGAGGUGAAAUGCGCAGAUAUCAGGAAGAACACCUAUGGCGAAGGCAGCUCUCUGGGACGGUACUGACGCUGAGACGCGAAAGCGUGGGGAGCGAACAGG